UCUCAGUUCGGAUUGAAGUCUGCAACCCGACUUCAUGAAGCUGGAUUCGCUAGUAAUCGCGCAUCAGCCACGGCGCGGUGAAUACGUUCCCGGGCCUUGUACACACCGCCCGUCAAGCCAUGGGAGCCGGGGGUACCUGAAGUGCGUAACCGCAAGGAGCGCCCUAGGGUAAAACUGGUGACUGGGGCUAAGUCGUAACAAGGUACC
Molecule: ribosomal RNA, 207 nt
Filed under: uncultured bacterium
Lineage: Bacteria
Description: partial 16S ribosomal RNA
Rfam family: Bacterial small subunit ribosomal RNA
Source: RNAcentral